This 506-nucleotide ribosomal RNA is filed under the name uncultured bacterium. RNAcentral describes it as "partial 16S ribosomal RNA". It matches the Rfam family "Bacterial small subunit ribosomal RNA", at positions 29 to 523 of the family's 1533-position model. The record is from RNAcentral.
AGUGAACGCUGGCGGUAGGCCUAACACAUGCAAGUCGAACGGCAGCACAGGAGAGCUUGCUCUCUGGGUGGCGAGUGGCGGACGGGUGAGGAAUACAUCGGAAUCUACCUUUUCGUGAGGGAUAACGUAGGGAAACUUACGCUAAUACCGCAUACGACCUUCGGGUGAAAGCAGGGGACCUUCGGGCCUUGCGCGGAUAGAUGAGCCGAUGUCGGAUUAGCUAGUUGGCGGGGUAAAGGCCCACCAAGGCGACGAUCCGUAGCUGGUCUGGAGGGAUGAUCAGCCACAAUGGAACUGGGACACGGGCCAGACUCCUACGGGAGGCAGCAGUGGGGAAUAUUGGACAAUGGGCGCAAGCCUGAUCCAGCCAUACCGCGUGGGUGAAGAAGGCCUUCGGGUUGUAAAGCCCUUUUGUUGGGAAAGAAAAGCAGCCAGUUAAUACCUGGUUGUUCUGACGGUACCCAAAGAAUAAGCACCGGCUAACUUCGUGCCAGCCGCCGCGGUAA